This 317-nucleotide ribosomal RNA is filed under the name uncultured Thaumatomonas. RNAcentral describes it as "partial large subunit ribosomal RNA". It matches the Rfam family "Eukaryotic large subunit ribosomal RNA", at positions 40 to 350 of the family's 3401-position model. Lineage: Eukaryota; Cercozoa; Imbricatea; Thaumatomonadida; Thaumatomastigidae. The record is from RNAcentral.
AUAUCAUUAAGCGGAGGAAAAGAAAAUAACAAUGAUCCCCCUAGUAACGGCGAGUGAAGCGGGGAGAGCUCAAGCCGAAAAUCUGGAAGCCUUGCGGUUUCCCGAAUUGUAGCCUCGAGAAGUGCUGUCAGUGAGUGACCUGGGUAUAAGUCUUUUGGAAAAAGGCAUCAUAGAGGGUGAGAAUCCCGUCUUUGACCCAGAGUAUGCCACGUACGACACGCUUUCACAGAGUCGAGUUGGUCGGGACUCCAGCUCUAAAUGGGUGGUAAGAUUCAUCUAAAGCUAAAUAUUGGCGGGAGACCGAUAGCGCACAAGUA